This 1856-nucleotide long non-coding RNA is filed under the name Marmota monax (woodchuck). Lineage: Eukaryota; Metazoa; Chordata; Mammalia; Rodentia; Sciuridae. The record is from RNAcentral.
AUGUCUCCACUUCUGUAAUAUUGAGAAAUGAAACAUUCUAAUAUUAAUUUAUAAUCCAUAAAAUGCAAGGUAAUCAUGUAUCCCUAUUAAAGAUUAUAAAAAUAAUUCUGUUUUCACAUUUUCAUAAGUCAUUUUAUUUUCAGAUAGAAAAAUAGACCACAUACAGGGAAUGUGUACACACACACAUACACAUCUACACUAGACCACACAGAAGGUAUGCAUAUACACAUAUAUGCAUAUAAGUGCGUGUAGAUGCAUAAGCUAUAUCUGUAUAUGGAAAAACUGCAAACUGCUUACCUAUAAGGAAGGCACCUGGUAGCUUGGGGACACCAAACAGAUGAGAUUCUUUUUUUUUUUCCUGGUAUCAGGGAUUGAACCCAGGGGCACUCAACCACUGAGCCCUAUUUUUUGUAUUUUAUUUAGAGACAAGGUCUCACUGAGUUGCAUAACACCUUGCUUUUGUUGAGGCUGGCUUUGAACUUAUGAUCCUCCUGCCUCAGCCUCCCAAGCCUCUGGAAAAAUAUAGUUACUUUAAAAAGUAAUAAAAAUCCUAAAUUAUCAUUGCACAACAAUCUUCCCUACAUUAUUUGGUACUAAUUGUUUAUAGGAGAUUCAACUAAGGUGGGCAUGGUGGCACACACCUGUAAUCCCAGCUGCACAGGAGGCAGAGACAGGAGGAUGGCAAGUUGGAGACCAGUCUGGGCAAUUUAUCGACACCCUGUCUCAAAAUUAAAAAUAGAGAUGCAGCUCAGUGAUGGAGCACCUCUGGGUUCAGUCCCCAGUAUUGCCAAAGAGAGAGGAAGCCUGGAAGAAAGAUUUAAUUAAAAUGCAAACUUGUGUGUUUGUGAUGCAGUCUCUCCUGUUCUCCCACACCUGCGCGGUCCAAGGAGGGGCUGGGGGAGGAGAAGCACCCCAGGGGCCAGUACCUGCAGGAUCCUGGAAAAAGGGGCCCAGGAAGAGCACCAGGGCCACCUACAGAGGCCACAGUGUGUGAAGGAGCAUGGCCCUGCUGGGGACGCUGACUGGCAGGUAGGUGACUGAAGCCACCGAGCAGAUGAAGGGUUCUCAGGAGGAGCUGCUGGUGGAUAGACCAGAGCCAGGUCAGGGAGCCCCGGGACGCUUCCUGAACACCACGACCCUGAGAGGAACCAGAGUGUCAGGACAAGGACAGGAGGGUGAACCUGGGUCAGGGGCUGGGGAGUAGCUGUGGCUUAGCUGGGCUUAGCACACCUAGGCCUGGGUUCCAACGCCAGCAUCAAAGCAAACCUCCAAACACCAGGAACCUCUUGGACCAGGAAGUAAGAAAGCACUGCAAAGAAACAAUUGGGGACUGGGGACGUGUCAGGAGGAGACAAAAGCCGUGUGACCUGGCACCCACUAGGCCAAUCUGGAGCAAUUUGAGCAUCGAAUAAAUAACGACCAGUAAGGGAUCACAGCCUAUCAUAUAAAACAAGAAUCCAAGCAGGUGCAGUGGCACACACCUGUAAUCCCAGCAGCUCUGGAGGCCAAGGCAGGAGGAUCUCAAAUUCAAGGCCAGCCUCAGCAAUUUAGCAAGGUCCUAAGCAAUUUAUUGAGACCCUGGUUGCAAAAUACAAUAUAAAGAGAGCUGGGGAUGUGGCUCACUGGGUAAGAACCCCUGGGUUCAAUCCCUGGUACCAAAAAUAAGAAAAAAAAUUAAAAAGCCAGAAUCCAUUCAUCCAUCCUCCCAAUACAUACCUGACUAUAUCCAUAUAUUCAGAAAGAGAGAGGGCUGAGGGUAUGGCUCAGCGAUAGAGCACUCACCUAGCAUGUGUGAGGCCCUGGAUUUGAUUCUCAGCACCACAUAAAAAGAAAGAAAGAAAGGUAUAGUGCCCAAC